AUACAGAGGGUGCGAGCGUUAAUCGGAAUUACUGGGCGUAAAGCGCGCGUAGGCGGCUUAUUAAGUCAGAUGUGAAAUCCCCGGGCUCAACCUGGGAACUGCAUCUGAUACUGGUAAGCUAGAGUUUUGGAGAGGGAAGUAGAAUUUCAGGUGUAGCGGUGAAAUGCAUAGAGAUCUGAAGGAAUACCAGUGGCGGAGGCGACUUCCUGGCCAAAAACUGACGCUGAGGUGCGAAAGCGUGGGUAGCAAACGGGAUUAGAAACCCCAGUAGUCC
RNAcentral lists this ribosomal RNA (274 nucleotides) under uncultured bacterium. RNAcentral describes it as "partial 16S ribosomal RNA". It matches the Rfam family "Bacterial small subunit ribosomal RNA", at positions 523 to 796 of the family's 1533-position model. The record is from RNAcentral.